RNAcentral lists this ribosomal RNA (603 nucleotides) under uncultured Actinomycetes bacterium. Its description in RNAcentral is "bacterial SSU rRNA". It matches the Rfam family "Bacterial small subunit ribosomal RNA", at positions 247 to 862 of the family's 1533-position model. The record is from RNAcentral. Lineage: Bacteria; Bacillati; Actinomycetota; Actinomycetes.
UGUGUGGGGUAUGGCCACNNGCUUUGACGGGUAGCUCNGCUCUGAUAGGGUGACCGGCCACACUGGGACUGAGUACACGGCCCAGACUCCUACGGGAGGCAGCAGUGGGGAAUAUUGGACAAUGGGCGGAAGCCUGAUCCAGCAACGCCGCGUGAGGGAUGACGGCCUUCGGGUUGUAAACCUCUUUCAGCACAGACGAAGUUGGUGGUGACGGUAUGUGCAGAAGAAGCACCGGCCAACUACGUGCCAGCAGCCGCGGUAAUACGUAGGGUGCGAGCGUUGUCCGGAAUUAUUGGGCGUAAAGGGCUCGUAGGCGGUUUGUCGCGUCGGGAGUGAAAUCCACUGGCUUAACUGGUGGCUUGCUUUCGAUACGGGCAGACUGGAGGUAUGCAGGGGAGAACGGAAUUCCUGGUGUAGCGGUGAAAUGCGCAGAUAUCAGGAGGAACACCGGUGGCGAAGGCGGUUCUCUGGGCAUGUCCUGACGCUGAGGAGCGAAAGUGUGGGGAGCGAACAGGAUUAUAUACCCUGGUAGUCCACACCGUAAACGUUGNGCGCUAGGUGUGGNAUCCAUUCCACGGGUUCCGUGCUUCAGCUAACGCAUUA